CCCUUAGAUGUCCUGGGCCGCACGCGCGUUACACUGAUGCAUUCAACGAGCUUAUAACCUUGGCCGAGAGGCCUGGGCAAUCUUGUUAACGUACAUCGUGAUAGGGAUAGAUUAUUGAAAUUAUUAAUCUUGAACGAGGAAUUCCUAGUAAACGCAGAUCAUCAAUCUGCAUUGAUUACGUCCCUGCCCUUUGUACACACCGCCCGUCGCACCUACCGAUUGGAUGGUCCGGUGAGGCCUCGGGAUUGUGGUUCUUGCCGCUUUAUUGUGGCGUGACCGCGAGAACUUGUCUAAACCUUAUCAUCUAGAGGAAGGUGAAGUCGUAACA
This 328-nucleotide ribosomal RNA is filed under the name uncultured eukaryote. RNAcentral's name for it is "partial 18S ribosomal RNA". It matches the Rfam family "Eukaryotic small subunit ribosomal RNA", at positions 1470 to 1796 of the family's 1831-position model. The record is from RNAcentral.